Theobroma umbraticum is the source of this 1332-nucleotide RNA transcript. It is a transcript of the gene named putative F-box protein PP2-B12, with no coding region annotated. NCBI's taxonomy places the organism in Eukaryota, Viridiplantae, Streptophyta, Magnoliopsida, Malvales, Malvaceae. The record is from RefSeq and is a predicted model, not a curated record.
AUAAAAUAAACGUAACGUACGUGUCCAGGAUACAGGAGAAAAGAAGAGUUCAAAGCAAUCAUCUCUCUCCCUUGUCUCGCCUCUUCUCCAAUCACAGAAGAACAAAACAUGGACAUGACCAGGGUGUUACCGGACGAGUGCAUGUCUCUCAUCAUAUCGUUUACGUCCCCUCGAGAUGCCUGUCGAAUGGCCCUUGUUUCUCGUGCUUUGAGGUCAGUUGCAGACUCUGACGCUGUAUGGCAGGUGUUUCUGCCUUGUGAUUACAAGGAAAUCAUCUCCAAAUCAUUAUCAUCACCUUCAUUGCUUUCAUUACCAAAGAAGGAUCUGUAUUUCAGUCUCUGUCAUCGUUCCAUUCUCUUUGAUGACGGUACUACGAGCUUUCGACUGGAGAAAGAGAACGGGAAAAAAUGCUAUAUGCUAGGAGCAAGAGCACUUUCAAUUAAAUGGGCAGAUACUCCUGACUAUUGGAGUUGGAUAUCUCUACCGGAGUCUAGAUUCUCUGAGGUUCCUAAGCUCAAGAAAGUGUGGAGGCUCGAUGUGAAGGGAAGGAUUGAGUUGAAAACUUUAUCUUACAGAACGAACUAUUCAGCAUACCUUGUGUUUAAGAUUGUCAGGGACAGAUAUGGAUUUAGGCAUACACCGGUGGAGUUUCGUGUCAUCAUUAAUGAAGGAACCGCUUCAGGGGAGGUGCGUAGUGUAAUCCUAGACCCUCCACCGAAUGUGCCCCAGCAAGCUAAAGAGAGGGGAGAUGGCUGGCUGGAGAUUGAAAUGGGUGAGUUCCUCAACGAAGGUGGAGAUGAUACGAGAGUGGAGUUUUAUCUACGGGGAGUUCAUGAUAAUCAGCCCAAGCGAGGCCUCAUUAUCGAAGGAAUCGAGCUCAGACCUAAAGAUAAUAGGAGGGGAAAAAGGCUUGCGUUUUUAUAAUGUGUAUGCUCCUGCCCCGAGACUGGCUGCAUUCAUCAACGCACUGUAUUGAUCAAAGUUUGAUAAUCAAACAAUUUGCCCACUUCUAUUGCAGAACUAUUCAAAACUCAAAGUUUGACAGCGUUUUCCUAGACUGUACAACUGGAAUUCUAAGGUUUACUGUCUCUCUUUUCCCAUCUUCUUUUGCAUCGCAUCGCAUGCAUAGACACCUUGCUUUUACAAUGCGAGCUUGGGAAGGAAAUUCCCGGUUGAUCGGCUACAAGGACCUAGCCCUCUUAAAGAGUUAAAAGAGUAUUAUUGGCCAUAGCCUCUUUAAUGUCUCCCUGCCCCUGUUAAUUUUGUUAUGAACAUUUAUUGGAAAAAUGUGGGCUGUGCUUAGAAAUGGAGAUUAAUGCAACUGGGAAAAUU